Small nucleolar RNA from Rana temporaria (common frog), 129 nucleotides. RefSeq annotates it as small nucleolar RNA SNORA71. The transcript has a single exon. NCBI's taxonomy places the organism in Eukaryota, Metazoa, Chordata, Amphibia, Anura, Ranidae. The record is from RefSeq and is a predicted model, not a curated record.
ACCUGCAUCGAAAGUGAUUGUGGUUUGAUCGGUGGCCUAGUCAUUGAUACUGCAGGGAAAGCAAACCAUGAAAGAUUUUCCCGUGUUUGGUUGUAACUUGUACAUUCCAAACCCUGUUCCUUUCAAACA